UACGGGGGGGGGUAAGCGUUGUUCGGAAUUACUGGGCGUAAAGGGCUCGUAGGCGGCCAACUAAGUCAGACGUGAAAUCCCUCAGCUUAACUGGGGAACUGCGUCUGAUACUGGAUGGCUUGGAUUUGGGAGAGGGAUGCGGAAUUCCAGGUGUAGCGGUGAAAUGCGUAGAUAUCUGGAGGAACACCGGUGGCGAAGGCGGUCUGCUGGGCAGUGGACUCGAGAGAGUCCUUCAACCGACACUGAGGCGCGACAGCGUGGGGAGCAAACAGG
RNAcentral lists this ribosomal RNA (273 nucleotides) under uncultured bacterium. RNAcentral describes it as "partial 16S ribosomal RNA". It matches the Rfam family "Bacterial small subunit ribosomal RNA", at positions 524 to 776 of the family's 1533-position model. The record is from RNAcentral.